GGGGAAUAUUGCACAAUGGGGGAAACCCUGAUGCAGCAACGCCGCGUGAAGGAUGAAGGUUUUCGGAUUGUAAACUUCUUUAGUCAGGGACGAAAAAAAUGACGGUACCUGAAGAAUAAGCCACGGCGAACUACGUGCCAGCAGCCGCGGUAAUACGUAGGUGGCAAGCGUUGUCCGGAAUUACUGGGUGUAAAGGGCGUGUAGGCGGGAAUGUAAGUCAGAUGUGAAAUCCCAGGGCUUAACCCUGGAGCUGCAUCUGAAACUAUGUUUCCUGAGUGCCGGAGAUGAAAGCGGAAUUCCGAGGGUAGCGGUGAGAUGCGUAGUUAUUAGGAGGAACACCAGUGGCGAAGGCGGCUUUCUGGACGGUAACUGACGCUGAGGCGCGAAAGCGUGGGGAGCAAAC
This 403-nucleotide ribosomal RNA is filed under the name uncultured bacterium. RNAcentral's name for it is "bacterial SSU rRNA". It matches the Rfam family "Bacterial small subunit ribosomal RNA", at positions 356 to 773 of the family's 1533-position model. The record is from RNAcentral.